UACAGAGGGGGCAAGCGUUGUUCGGAAUUACUGGGCGUAAAGCGCACGUAGGCGGUUCGUUAAGUCGGAUGUGAAAGCCCUCGGCUCAACUGAGGAAGUGCACCCGAAACUGGCGAGCUUGAGUACGAAAGAGGAUCGCGGAAUUCCCGGUGUAGAGGUGAAAUUCGUAGAUAUCGGGAGGAACACCGGUGGCGAAGGCGGCGAUCUGGGUCGAUACUGACGCUGAGGUGCGAAAGCGUGGGGAGCAAACAGG
RNAcentral lists this ribosomal RNA (253 nucleotides) under uncultured bacterium. RNAcentral describes it as "partial 16S ribosomal RNA". It matches the Rfam family "Bacterial small subunit ribosomal RNA", at positions 524 to 776 of the family's 1533-position model. The record is from RNAcentral.